Molecule: ribosomal RNA, 110 nt
Filed under: Pelagibaculum spongiae
Lineage: Bacteria; Pseudomonadati; Pseudomonadota; Gammaproteobacteria; Oceanospirillales
Source: RNAcentral
GGCAAUAGCGAGUGGGAACCACCUGAAUCCAUCCCGAACUCAGAAGUGAAACCACUUAGCGCCGAUGGUAGUGUGGGGCUUCCCCAUGUGAGAGUAGGUCACCGCCAAGC